AUUGAACGCUGGCGGCAUGCCUUACACAUGCAAGUCGAACGGUAACGGGCCUUCGGGUGCCGACGAGUGGCGGACGGGUGCGUAAUACAUCGGAACGUGCCCGAUCGUGGGGGAUAACGAGGCGAAAGCUUUGCUAAUACCGCAUACGAUCUACGGAUGAAAGCAGGGGACCGCAAGGCCUUGCGCGGACGGAGCGGCCGAUGGCAGAUUAGGUAGUUGGUGGGAUAAAAGCUUACCAAGCCGACGAUCUGUAGCUGGUCUGAGAGGAUGAUCAGCCACACUGGGACUGAGACACGGCCCAGACUCCUACGGGAGGCAGCAGUGGGGAAUUUUGGACAAUGGGCGCAAGCCUGAUCCAGUCAUGCCGCGUGCAGGAUGAAGGCCUUCGGGCUGUAAACUGCUUUUGUACGGAACGAAAAGCCUUCUUUUAAUACAGGAGGGUCAUGACGGUACCGUAAGAAUAAGCACCGGCUAACUACGUG
This 482-nucleotide ribosomal RNA is filed under the name uncultured bacterium. RNAcentral describes it as "partial 16S ribosomal RNA". It matches the Rfam family "Bacterial small subunit ribosomal RNA", at positions 30 to 507 of the family's 1533-position model. The record is from RNAcentral.